UGCCGAAACGCCGACUCGGGUCGGCGUCCCUGGGAGGUGGCAUUCUCAGGCUGAUGAUGGCUGCCGCAG
Molecule: non-coding RNA, 69 nt
Filed under: Mycolicibacterium vanbaalenii PYR-1
Lineage: Bacteria; Bacillati; Actinomycetota; Actinomycetes; Mycobacteriales; Mycobacteriaceae
Source: RNAcentral